Long non-coding RNA from Acipenser ruthenus (sterlet), 1410 nucleotides. RefSeq lists it as uncharacterized. The transcript has 2 exons. The record is from RefSeq and is a predicted model, not a curated record. NCBI's taxonomy places the organism in Eukaryota, Metazoa, Chordata, Actinopteri, Acipenseriformes, Acipenseridae.
GUCUCUUGUACUGUCUAUAAAGAUUUGAUGAACCGGAAGUAUUUGCAGCGUAUUGCUAGUGUAAUCCACGUGUGUGUGUCGGUCAUUAGCACCGUAUGUCAAAAAAGGGGUUACAAAAAUACAAAUGGAUUUUUGCUACCGUAACCGACGAGAAUGGAGGACUGCAAACCAAAAGCAAACAGAAAGUUUGAAUUGGACAUGAAGGGGUCAGAAACGAAGAACAUACACACAAAAGGAAAAUGACUAUCAGCACUCCUAGAGAAUCCCUGUACCGGCAAAUAAAGAUGAAGAGGACAAUUGGUUCCCUAGAAGAACAAAAGGCUGCUGGCCAGACUUUGGUAGAGUUGACCUUUGCACCCCACCUACCCUGUGAUUGAAAUACAUGACACUGAAGAGAGUGAGCUGGUGUGUGUCUUCACUGUCAGCAGCAAUUGAAAGCAGUGCUAGUCAGUGCAAUACUCAAAACCUGCCUGAGGAUCAGAGAAAAGGAAUGUGGCAUGCCAUUGCUUUGAAAAUGGAGGACAGAGAACCAGAAUUAGCAACAACUGGCUGGAAGCCAGCUGCUGUGUGAGUAACCCAGCCCAGAAAUUACCUACAGCUUAAAAUGUCCAGAAGAACAAAAACACCAAGCCAACUGUUUUGUGAAUUGUUAUUAUUAAUUCAUUCCGUUGCAGACACCCUUAACCAGGGCGACUUACGAUAAUUUUUUUAGUUUUACAUACAAUUACUCAUUUAUACAGCUGAGUUUUUACUGGAGCAGUCUAGGAGGUAAAGUCCCUGCCAGCUUGCUGAAGGGUACAGCAGCAGUGUGUCCCCCACCUGGGAUUGAACCCACACAAAACCCUCCACUCAAGAGUCCAGAGCUCCCCUUACCACUACUCCACACUUUUAGCUUUGGCUAACUAUCAAAAAUGGCUAAGAAAGCAAAAAUCAAGUCACCUAACCUAGAGUUUUUGGCUGACUAUGUUAAGCGGCCAAAAGGAAAACAAAAACCUACAAUCUUAGGCUGACUAUCAGAAAUGGAACUCUAUAAAAAUCUUUUUCACAGAAAAGCAGAAGACACUUGGUUAGGAGACGCUACGAUGACCACUUAUCCUGAAACAGACUUUCAUGUGCCAGAUCAACUCAUGUGCCAGAUCAACUGUUUUAGCUCUACUGUAGAUCUACAUUUCUUACUAUAUCUUUGGGUUCUAUUUUUAGGUCUUUGUUUGUUUUUGAUCCCAGUUGCCUGUUUUUGCAUUGUUAAGUUUUACCCAUGUAUGGGCAUGCCUGCUUAUUCUUGUCUGCAAGGAUUAGAGGUGGUUGCUGUCAUGUGAACUUUUAAUAAACUCAGCCAGCCGGGAAAAGGAAACCAUUCAGGUUUAAAAAAAAAAAAAAACACCCACAGAGGAAACUGAGAAACAACCUUCU